UUCCGGUUGAUCCCGCCGGACCCGACUGCUAUCGGGGUGAGACUAAGCCAUGCGAGUCGUGCGCCCUCGGGUAUGCGAGGGCGCGGCGCACGGCUCAGUAACACGUAGCUAACCUACCCUGAGGAGGGGGAUACCCCCGGGAAACUGGGGUUAAUCCCCCAUAGGUCUGGAUACCUGGAAUGGGUUCAGGCCAAAAUGGAUCUGCGCGCAUCCUGCACAGGUCCGCCUCAGGAUGGGGCUGCGGCCCAUCAGGUAGUUGGCGGGGUAAAGGCCCACCAAGCCGAUAACGGGUGCGGGCUCUGGAAGGAGGAGCCCGGAGAUGGGCACUGAGACAAGGGCCCAGGCCCUACGGGGUGCAGCAGGCGCGAAAACUCCGCAAUGCGGGAAACCGUGACGGGGCCACCCCGAGUGUCGCCCGAAGAGGGCGACUUUUGCCCGGUGCAAAAAGCCGGGCGAAUAAGCGGGGGGCAAGUCUGGUGUCAGCCGCCGCGGUAAAACCAGC
This 502-nucleotide ribosomal RNA is filed under the name uncultured crenarchaeote. RNAcentral's name for it is "bacterial SSU rRNA". It matches the Rfam family "Archaeal small subunit ribosomal RNA", at positions 1 to 480 of the family's 1478-position model. The record is from RNAcentral. Lineage: Archaea; Thermoproteati; Thermoproteota.